CCUACGGGUGGCAGCAGUGAGGAAUAUUGGUCAAUGGGCGGGAGCCUGAACCAGCCAAGCCGCGUGAGGGAAGAAGGUACAGCGUAUCGUAAACCUCUUUUGUCAGGGAACAAAGGCGGGGACUAGUCCCCGGAUGAGGGUACCUGAAGAAAAAGCAUAGGCUAACUCCGUGCCAGCAGCCGCGGUAAAACGGAGGAUGCGAGCGUUAUCCGGAUUUAUUGGGGUUAAAGGGAGCGUAGAUGGGUGGUUAAGGCAGUUGUGAAAGUUUGCGGAUCAACCGUAAAAUUGCAAUUGAUACUGGCAGCCUUGAGUGCAGUUGAGGUAGGCGGAAGUCGUGGUGUAGCGGUGAAAUGCUUAGAUAUCACGAAGAACUCCGAUUGCGAAGGCAGCCUACUAAACUGCCACUGACAUUGAUGCUCGAAAGUGUGGGUAUCAAACAGGAUUAGAUACCCGAGUAGUC
RNAcentral lists this ribosomal RNA (460 nucleotides) under uncultured bacterium. Its description in RNAcentral is "partial 16S ribosomal RNA". It matches the Rfam family "Bacterial small subunit ribosomal RNA", at positions 338 to 795 of the family's 1533-position model. The record is from RNAcentral.